UGUUGGUUCUCCCGCAAUGAUAACUUGUUAAGUUGGUCAGGUCUUGAAAGAAGCAGCCAUAGCAAGGUGUGUAUGUGCCGGGAUGAUGCCGCUGACA
Molecule: signal recognition particle RNA, 97 nt
Filed under: Arsenophonus endosymbiont of Aleurodicus floccissimus
Lineage: Bacteria; Pseudomonadati; Pseudomonadota; Gammaproteobacteria; Enterobacterales; Morganellaceae
Description: Bacterial small signal recognition particle RNA
Rfam family: Bacterial small signal recognition particle RNA
About the family: The signal recognition particle (SRP) is a universally conserved ribonucleoprotein involved in the co-translational targeting of proteins to membranes. Archaeal SRP consists of a 7S RNA and homologues of the eukaryotic SRP19 and SRP54 proteins.
Source: Rfam by way of RNAcentral